GUCUAUGGCCAUACCACCCUGAAUGCACCCGAUCUCAUCUGAUCUCGGAAGCUAAGCAGGGUCGGGCCUGGUUAGUACUUGGAUGGGAGAAAUUAGAUAAUAGGUG
RNAcentral lists this ribosomal RNA (106 nucleotides) under Neogale vison (American mink). Lineage: Eukaryota; Metazoa; Chordata; Mammalia; Carnivora; Mustelidae. The record is from RNAcentral.